GUAAAGCGGCGCACGGUGAGUAACACGUAGGUAACCUGCCCCCCUAGUCUGGAACAACUAGAGGAACUCUAGCUAAUGCCGGAUGAGACCACGAUCCCCUUCGGGGGGUUGCGGCCAAAGAUGGCCUCUACUUGUAAGCUAUCGCUGAGGGAUGGGCCUGCGGGCCAUUAGCUUGUUGGUGAGGUAACGGCUCACCAAGGCUGUGAUGGCUAGCUGGUCUGAGAGGAUGACCAGCCACACUGGGACUGAGACACGGCCCAGACUCCUACGGGAGGCAGCAGUGGGGAAUAUUGCGCAAUGGGCGAAAGCCUGACGCAGCGACGCCGCGUGGGUGAUGAAGGCCUUCGGGUCGUAAAGCCCUGUCGCAGGGGAAGAAUAAGCAUCGGUAUAAUACGCCGGUGCCCUGACGGUACCCUGCAAGAAAGCACCGGCUAACUCCGUG
RNAcentral lists this ribosomal RNA (442 nucleotides) under uncultured bacterium. RNAcentral describes it as "bacterial SSU rRNA". It matches the Rfam family "Bacterial small subunit ribosomal RNA", at positions 90 to 507 of the family's 1533-position model. The record is from RNAcentral.